Long non-coding RNA from Anser cygnoides (Swan goose), 757 nucleotides. NCBI's taxonomy places the organism in Eukaryota, Metazoa, Chordata, Aves, Anseriformes, Anatidae. The record is from Ensembl.
AUGCAGGCAGCCAGCAAGAAAAGAGAAUUUUUCCUCCACCUUCUACAUCUACUCACCCAUCCCCCCCACUUUUUUUUUUUUUUUUUUUUUUUUGGUACUAGAAAUAUUUCAGGCACAAUUAAAAAGGCGUUAUUAGCAUUUAAUUGGUUUGGAGUCCUCACUGUGAUGUUGAGCCCUCGUGCUGAUGUCAUCCCAGUUGUCAUGGUUACAGGUGAACAAGCUGCUGGAAGUGCAAAAUCAGCGCCGGGCUCCAAGGGGAAGGGAGGAUGGAGGGGGGAACCUGGGGAGGAACCUGGUGCUGGAAGUGAGCGAGCAGAAACAGCUGCCAUCGCCAGUACAAGGCCUGCAUCUCGGCUGUGGAGAAACAUUCUGAAGAGGUCCACCAACUUCAAGAGAACUUAUUUUCCUCCCCAGCUGUACAGACCAGUGUCUCAGCUAUCGGGGUUUGAGGACUCUACUGUGAACCUGGCAUGCACUCUCUCAAGCACCCUCUGCUUGAAACAGUCCAACGAGGCUGAUUUGGAGCCCUCUCAGAUAUGUCUGUCGGCUGAGGAAUGUGCUGAACAGGCUGACCAACAGAAGUGCUCAUUUUUUCUGUCAUUCAGAAAUUGUGAAGCUCUGUAGAUGUCUCUAUUUUGAUCUGCCUCUGAAGAGCAACAUCAUCAGAGUACUGGUGCAGAUGGAGCCAUGUCCUACAGCCCUCCUGGUGGGACCAUACUUCACUUCUGCCUUUUGUACACUCUCCAAAGUGAGGUGA